Non-coding RNA from Gossypium hirsutum (cotton), 107 nucleotides. The record is from Rfam. Lineage: Eukaryota; Viridiplantae; Streptophyta; Magnoliopsida; Malvales; Malvaceae.
AACCCAUGGUGAGGGCACCUUUUCUAAAGGUCCUUGUAUCUCUCCCAUGCAUCAUAGAGUGUUUUUAAAUCCAUCUGCAUAAAAGAAGAGAUAUCUUUACGUAAUUU